This 525-nucleotide ribosomal RNA is filed under the name uncultured bacterium. Its description in RNAcentral is "bacterial SSU rRNA". It matches the Rfam family "Bacterial small subunit ribosomal RNA", at positions 8 to 526 of the family's 1533-position model. The record is from RNAcentral.
AGGGUUUGAUUAUGGCUCAGGAUGAACGCUAGCGGCAGGCCUAACACAUGCAAGUCGAGGGGUAACAGAGGGUGCUUGCACCUUGCUGACGACCGGCGCACGGGUGCGUAACGCGUAUGCAACCUACCUUCUACAGGGGGAUAGCCCAGAGAAAUUUGGAAUAAUACCCCAUACGAUCUUUACUUGGCAUCGAGUAAAGAAGAAAACUUUUGUGGUAGAAGAUGGGCAUGCGUCCUAUUAGUUAGUUGGUGAGGUAACGGCUCACCAAGACAUCGAUAGGUAGGGGCCCUGAGAGGGGGAUCCCCCACACUGGUACUGAGACACGGACCAGACUCCUACGGGAGGCAGCAGUGAGGAAUAUUGGACAAUGGGGGCAACCCUGAUCCAGCCAUGCCGCGUGCAGGAAGACUGCCCUAUGGGUUGUAAACUGCUUUUAUACAGGAAGAAACUGCGCUACGUGUAGCGUACUGACGGUACUGUAAGAAUAAGGAUCGGCUAACUCCGUGCCAGCCGCCGCGGUAAUAC